UACGGGGGGGGCAAGCGUUGUUCGGAAUUACUGGGCGUAAAGAGCUCGUAGGCGGUUUGUCACGUCUGCUGUGAAAUCCCGAGGCUCAACCUCGGGCCUGCAGUGGGUACGGGCAGACUGGAGUGCGGUAGGGGAGAAUGGAAUUCCUGGUGUAGCGGUGGAAUGCGCAGAUAUCAGGAGGAACACCGAUGGCGAAGGCAGUUCUCUGGGCCGUAACUGACGCUGAGGAGCGAAAGCGUGGGGAGCGAACAGG
RNAcentral lists this ribosomal RNA (253 nucleotides) under uncultured bacterium. RNAcentral describes it as "partial 16S ribosomal RNA". It matches the Rfam family "Bacterial small subunit ribosomal RNA", at positions 524 to 776 of the family's 1533-position model. The record is from RNAcentral.